CUACGUGCCAGCAGCCGCGGUAAUACGGAGGAUGCGAGCGUUAUCCGGAUUUAUUGGGUUUAAAGGGUGCGUAGGCGGUUUGUUAAGUCAGCGGUGAAAUCUAGAGGCUCAACCUCGAAACUGCCGUUGAAACUGGCGAACUUGAGUGUAGAUGAGGUAGGCGGAAUUCGUGGUGUAGCGGUGAAAUGCAUAGAUAUCACGAGGAACUCCGAUUGCGAAGGCAGCUUACUAAGGUGCAACUGGCGCUGAAGCACGAAAGCGUGGGUAUCAAACAGGAUUAGAUACCCUGGUAGUCCACGCAGUAAACGAUGAUAACUGGGCGUAUGCGAUAUACAGUAUGCUCCUAAGCGAAAGCGUUAAGUUAUCCACCUGGGGAGUACGCCGGCAACGGUGAAACUCAAAGGAAUUGACGGGGGCCCGCACAAGCGGAGGAACAUGUGGUUUAAUUCGAUGAUACGCGAGGAACCUUACCCGGGCU
This 478-nucleotide ribosomal RNA is filed under the name uncultured bacterium. RNAcentral's name for it is "bacterial SSU rRNA". It matches the Rfam family "Bacterial small subunit ribosomal RNA", at positions 501 to 981 of the family's 1533-position model. The record is from RNAcentral.